UGAUGUGGUGGUGCAGUGAGUAGCACUGCUGUCUCUCAACAUCUCAGUAGUGCAAGAGAAUGUGGGUUCAAUCCCCACUCAGUCUG
Molecule: transfer RNA, 86 nt
Filed under: Scleropages formosus (Asian bonytongue)
Lineage: Eukaryota; Metazoa; Chordata; Actinopteri; Osteoglossiformes; Osteoglossidae
Description: tRNA-Glu
Source: RNAcentral